CGGCGGACGGGUGAGUAAUGCCUAGGAAUCUGCCUGGUAGUGGGGGACAACGUUUCGAAAGGAACGCUAAUACCGCAUACGUCCUACGGGAGAAAGCAGGGGACCUUCGGGCCUUGCGCUAUCAGAUGAGCCUAGGUCGGAUUAGCUAGUUGGUGAGGUAAUGGCUCACCAAGGCGACGAUCCGUAACUGGUCUGAGAGGAUGAUCAGUCACACUGGAACUGAGACACGGCCCAGACUCCUACGGGAGGCAGCAGGA
RNAcentral lists this ribosomal RNA (257 nucleotides) under uncultured Pseudomonas sp. RNAcentral's name for it is "partial 16S ribosomal RNA". It matches the Rfam family "Bacterial small subunit ribosomal RNA", at positions 96 to 354 of the family's 1533-position model. The record is from RNAcentral. Lineage: Bacteria; Pseudomonadati; Pseudomonadota; Gammaproteobacteria; Pseudomonadales; Pseudomonadaceae.